RNAcentral lists this non-coding RNA (158 nucleotides) under Streptomyces sp. RNAcentral's name for it is "SAM-I sequence". It matches the Rfam family "SAM riboswitch aptamer (S box leader)". Rfam says of the family: The SAM riboswitch is found upstream of a number of genes which code for proteins involved in methionine or cysteine biosynthesis in Gram-positive bacteria. RNAcentral also lists the same sequence under 1 other name. The record is from RNAcentral. Lineage: Bacteria; Bacillati; Actinomycetota; Actinomycetes; Kitasatosporales; Streptomycetaceae.
CGCUCAUCCAGAGGGGCAGAGGGACACGGCCCGUUGAAGCCCCGGCAACCCUCCAGUCGGUCUCGCGAUCACGCACAUCCGCUGCGUCAGCGAGGUCCCCGGCUAGGGAAGGUGCCAAUUCCGUCUCAUGGCGAAGUGCGCCAUGGGGAAGAUGAGGA